UACGAAGGGGGCUAGCGUUGCUCGGAAUCACUGGGCGUAAAGGGUGCGUAGGCGGGUCUUUAAGUCAGGGGUGAAAUCCUGGAGCUCAACUCCAGAACUGCCUUUGAUACUGAAGAUCUUGAGUUCGGGAGAGGUGAGUGGAACUGCGAGUGUAGAGGUGAAAUUCGUAGAUAUUCGCAAGAACACCAGUGGCGAAGGCGGCCUGCUGGGCUGUUGCUGACGCUGAGGCGCGACAGCGUGGGGAGCAAACAGG
RNAcentral lists this ribosomal RNA (253 nucleotides) under uncultured bacterium. RNAcentral's name for it is "partial 16S ribosomal RNA". It matches the Rfam family "Bacterial small subunit ribosomal RNA", at positions 524 to 776 of the family's 1533-position model. The record is from RNAcentral.